CCCCUCUCAGGAUCUCACCUGGAGAGCUUCCAGUACUCUACCAGUCCCGGCUAUGGAAGGGAGAGUCAAGCGGUGGCAUACCCAUUCCAUUCCUGGCUUGGGCAGCGGCCAGCGAGUGGAAGGCAAUCUGCUACAAGU
RNAcentral lists this small nucleolar RNA (138 nucleotides) under Ornithorhynchus anatinus (platypus). Lineage: Eukaryota; Metazoa; Chordata; Mammalia; Monotremata; Ornithorhynchidae. The record is from RNAcentral.